UUUAAAAAAAAAAUUGCUAUCUUUUUAGUGUUAUGCAAAAUGUCAGAAUUAAAGCUCACAGCUUGUUUGCAAUUCAUGAUGCUUUAAAAAUGUAAUAGUGUAUUGAACUCUAAUAGUAAAAGAAAUUGAUUUUUCUGCUGAGGAAGUCAGUGGUGAUAUACUGAAAAAGAAAGUGUACCAUGGAGUCAAAGAAUUAGUGAUCAGUAUAUCAAAUGUUUUGUUCUUUUUGUAUUUAACACAGUUUGAAGAGUGGGAUAUGUUUGACAUUCUGCUUUCAGACAGCUAUCAAAAGUCUGAAUUCUCAGAAUACAAAGCAGUCAACUGUGUUUGGACACGGAUCUCUCUGACAUUUAUAAAGGGGAUCUAGAUGAAAGCCAUAAAGAAGAUACUGCCCAAUCAUAAAACCGACUUCCACUGCAGACCGUGUGAAAAUAUGUAUCACACUCUUAGUCUGUAUAAGGCAUGACCCAUAUACACCAAGGAAGGGGAAGACACAAAUAUGACUUGCAAGACCCAGUAUCUUAUGAGAGAGAUGGGAAAGGCCUCAUCAUAGCACAC
Molecule: long non-coding RNA, 558 nt
Organism: Corapipo altera (White-ruffed manakin)
Lineage: Eukaryota; Metazoa; Chordata; Aves; Passeriformes; Pipridae
Exons: 3
Source: RefSeq, a predicted model, not a curated record